This 429-nucleotide ribosomal RNA is filed under the name uncultured bacterium. RNAcentral describes it as "partial 16S ribosomal RNA". It matches the Rfam family "Bacterial small subunit ribosomal RNA", at positions 354 to 796 of the family's 1533-position model. The record is from RNAcentral.
GUGGGGAAUAUUGCACAAUGGGCGCAAGCCUGAUGCAGCAACGCCGCGUGGGGGAUGACGGCCUUCGGGUUGUAAACCUCUUUUAGUAGGGAAGAAGCGAAAGUGACGGUACCUGCAGAAAAAGCACCGGCUAACUACGUGCCAGCAGCCGCGGUAAUACGUAGGGUGCAAGCGUUGUCCGGAAUUAUUGGGCGUAAAGAGCUCGUAGGCGGUUUGUCGCGUCUGCUGUGAAAUCCCGAGGCGCAACCUCGGGCCUGCAGUGGGUACGGGCAGACUAGAGUGCGGUAGGGGAGAUUGGAAUUCCUGGUGUAGCGGUGGAAUGCGCAGAUAUCAGGAGGAACACCGAUGGCGAAGGCAGAUCUCUGGGCCGCUACUGACGCUGAGGAGCGAAAGCAUGGGGAGCGAACAGGAUUAGAAACCCUAGUGUCC